Molecule: ribosomal RNA, 467 nt
Filed under: uncultured bacterium
Lineage: Bacteria
Description: partial 16S ribosomal RNA
Rfam family: Bacterial small subunit ribosomal RNA
Source: RNAcentral
GACGAACGCUGGCGGCGUGCUUAACACAUGCAAGUCGAACGGAAAGGCCCUGCUUUUGUGGGGUGCUCGAGUGGCGAACGGGUGAGUAACACGUGAGUAACCUGCCCUUGACUUUGGGAUAACUUCAGGAAACUGGGGCUAAUACCGGAUAGGAGCUCCUGCUGCAUGGUGGGGGUUGGAAAGUUUCGGCGGUUGGGGUUGGACUCGCGGCUUAUCAGCUUGUUGGUGGGGUAGUGGCUUACCAAGGCUUUGACGGGUAGCCGGCCUGAGAGGGUGACCGGCCACAUUGGGACUGAGAUACGGCCCAGACUCCUACGGGAGGCAGCAGUGGGGAAUAUUGCACAAUGGGCGGAAGCCUGAUGCAGCAACGCCGCGUGCGGGAUGACGGCCUUCGGGUUGUAAACCGCUUUCGCCUGUGACGAAGCGUGAGUGACGGGAAUGGGGAAAGAAGCACCGGCUAACUACGG